GAUGAACGCUGGCGGCGUGCCUAAUACAUGCAAGUCGAGCGAACAGACGAGGAGCCUGCUCCUCUGACGUUAGCGGCGGACGGGUGAGUAACACGUGGAUAACCUACCUAUAAGACUGGGAUAACUUCGGGAAACCGGAGCUAAUACCGGAGAAUAUAUUGAACCGCAUGGUUCAAUAGUGAAAGACGGUUUUGCUGUCACUUAUAGAUGGAUCCGCGCCGCAUUAGCUAGUUGGUAAGUAACGGCGUACCAAGGCUACGAUGCGUAGCCGACCUGAGAGGGUGAUCGGCCACACUGGAACUGAGACACGGUCCAGACUCCUACGGGAGGCAGCAGUAGGGAAUCUUACGCAAUGGGCGAAAGCUUGACGGAGCAACGCCGCGUGAGUGAUGAAGGUCUUCGGAUCGUAAAACUCUGUUAUUAGGGAAGAACAAAUGUGUAAGUAACUAUGCACGUCUUGACGGUACCUAAUCAGAAAGCCACGGCUAACUACGUG
RNAcentral lists this ribosomal RNA (496 nucleotides) under uncultured bacterium. RNAcentral describes it as "partial 16S ribosomal RNA". It matches the Rfam family "Bacterial small subunit ribosomal RNA", at positions 28 to 507 of the family's 1533-position model. The record is from RNAcentral.